This 73-nucleotide transfer RNA is filed under the name Trichonephila inaurata madagascariensis. It matches the Rfam family "tRNA". Rfam says of the family: Transfer RNA (tRNA) molecules are approximately 80 nucleotides in length. Their secondary structure includes four short double-helical elements and three loops (D, anti-codon, and T loops). Further hydrogen bonds mediate the characteristic L-shaped molecular structure. tRNAs have two regions of fundamental functional importance: the anti-codon, which is responsible for specific mRNA codon recognition, and the 3' end, to which the tRNAs corresponding amino acid is attached (by aminoacyl-tRNA synthetases). tRNAs cope with the degeneracy of the genetic code in two manners: having more than one tRNA (with a specific anti-codon) for a particular amino acid; and 'wobble' base-pairing, i.e. permitting non-standard base-pairing at the 3rd anti-codon position. Lineage: Eukaryota; Metazoa; Arthropoda; Arachnida; Araneae; Nephilidae. The record is from Rfam by way of RNAcentral.
GUCCCUGUAGCGCAAUGGAUAGCGCGUUGUACUUCUAAUACAAAAAUCGUGGGUUCGAAUCCUACCUGGAAUG